This is a long non-coding RNA of Empidonax traillii (willow flycatcher), 2494 nucleotides long. RefSeq lists it as uncharacterized. The record is from RefSeq and is a predicted model, not a curated record. The transcript is spliced from 4 exons. NCBI's taxonomy places the organism in Eukaryota, Metazoa, Chordata, Aves, Passeriformes, Tyrannidae.
UGAGCGAUGAGGAGAGGACAUAAAGUCUUACGAUGCAUCAAGGGGAGGUUUAGGCUGGAUAUCAGGAGGAAUUUCUUCACGGAAAGGGUGAUUAGACAUUGGAAUGGGCUGCGCAGGAGGAUGCUGGAGUCGCCGUCCCUGUAGGUGUUUAAGAAAAGGCUAGGCGUGGCACUUCGUGCCGUGAUCUAGUUGACAAGGUGGUGUUGGGGCUCAGCGACCUCGGAGGUCUUUUCCGAUCUAAUUGAUCCUGUGCUUCCCAACUGCCCUCCACUACGAUAUUAAGCUUGAGCUGCACAGUGGAAGUGUUCUCUCGCGUGUGGUGCUCCCCGCCUUUUCCAUUAUCGCACAGAGAGGCUGUUCCGCCCCUCAGGAAAAACUGUGGGCCAGGGAAAGGUGCAGAGUGGCUGUCACAUAAUUGUGUAGCAGGGCAAGCUAAAGACACAGCCAGAGCACAGCACUCCUUCCCCUGCCUUUGAAGAAAAGGGGGCUUUGCUGCAAAACCUUAGCUUGGAGGUGAUGAAACUGAGAAGCCGUAGAGUGGGCAUGGGUGGUGAUGCUGUCAUGACUGACUGGAAAGACAAGGACUAUUUCGGUUGAAUCUCCCACCUUAGAAAGAUCUCCCCAGCAAACACAGCUAAUCCCGUGCUGCGCUCUAGGAAUUGUCACUUAUUGUGAAUUUAGAACCAGAAGUUCUUGGGUACUUAUUUCCAGAACUGAACUGCUGUAGCAGUCGGGUGCUAAUCUUAAGGCGGAGAUGAUGGCAUGCUAACAGGAGUGGCAUUUGCUGUACAAAUAUUAGAACUUAAAAUUUUGUUAGUUCGAGGAAGGAAGUGCUUUAGCACUUAAAGGUGGAAUGGUGCUGUAAUUACAGGAGUUACAUGUAUUGUAUAAGCAUUAGUCUAUCCACAAUCUAUCUGUAUCAUGUUUGUUCUCUGAUGGUUUAAACAGAAAGUAAAAAAGCUUUCCUUGUGGAUCAGUGUUUACCCCUGCUAUAUCAGAAAGAUAUCCUUCCAAAGAAACUAAGUUGUUGGUUUAAAAGCAUGUAUUGAUAUUCUGAUUAAAAGCUUAAAAUCUUUAUGCAAGGUAGAUGAUGUCUCUGAAAUCAAGAAAAAAUAGUUGGAAAUGCUCUCAGGCAAUUUGAAGGUCAGAUGGAAUGAAUACAAUGUAACUAAGAAAUUUUAAAAUUGCAGUUAUUUAUUUAGGCUUGACUAGAACAUUAUAUCAUGUGUUUUCCUGCAAGUAACUGUUCAACAGAUGGUCCUUGGCUGCAUUCUGACCAUGAAAAACAAUGACAGAGCCAGGGCUUGGAUUUUAAUUGGCAAAAUCUCCCACACAAUGCUCUCCCAAGUAUGGAAAGAGAACCAGCACAGUACUGUGGAAAGGAAGAAAAACAGUAUUAAUGAAGCAUUCUCUAUAAUCCACCUACAGUUGUCACUUACAAUAAAAUGAAUGAGAAAUUAGGGGAGAAACUCAUUUAAUAUUGAAAUUGUUCCUCUGGUACUCAGUGAUUGUAGGUAGCCCUGUGUGACUGCUGACAUUUUCAACAGCGCUAAUGAAUUUGAUUGGGAACUAGGCAUACACCUAGAAAGCUGAAUACUUUGCUGUGUGCUUCUCUGUGUGUUUAAUUACUAUAUAGUUUCUCCCUGUCUUUGGCAGAUAGAAGAAAGGACAUGUGUACUGUUUAUUUAAACAUCGGGAGUAAAAGUCAUAAACUCUAGAUAGAGGGAUCUCUAGAGAACUCAGAACUAAAGACUGUACAACUUUGAAAGUGUUUUCCCCUUUCUAUUCCUCUUAAAGCCUCUGUUCAACAUUUGAAGAAAAAUACUUUUUUUCCCCCUUUCUUUUUCCACAUCUUGGCAUGUGACAUUAUAUGUGCGGGAAAAAAUCUCCUGGCAAACCUGUAAAUAAGCUAAACCUGAUGGGAUCUCUGAAGUAGGGAUGAAACAGAAGAAGGUUAUCAGGCAGGAAGAUCAGAAGAUGCUUGGAGAAGAAAACUAGGAGAAGGAUCAGCAGUUACACCUCAUGACAGAUAAGCAAAAGAUGAAGAAAUUCUAUGCAACAAUUCUUAUCCUAAAGCCAAAGAAAGAUGACAUUUCUCAGUUAUGGUCAUAGUAGGAGAGACAAGCUGAGAAUGAAAAUGAAUGUGAACUAACAGUUUGUUUUCUUAGGGAUGAGAACAUACAGAGGACUUUCACUCUUGUCAACAAUCCCAGGAUAUAAUGUCCCUAGGGCUGUUUUUGCCAAGUCACAACUGUUGAAAAGGAAGUUCUUUCCAAGAGUAGAUGGUUUUCAAUUAAAUAAAUAUAUUGUACAUAAAGAUUUGCAAAGUAAUUUCUAAUGUCUCUGUACUAUGGAAUUGCUUUCUCACCAGUGACAAGUGUUCUACCACUUUGUUUGCUACUCACUACAUACAUCAUUUAUCUUAAUGAUCGUUUUUGUCAUUAGAAUUCAAACAAACUGUAUUUAACGAGGAAGGCCCUUUCUCAGAAUUAUU